RNAcentral lists this transfer RNA (71 nucleotides) under Hemidactylus almakhwah (Al Makhwah gecko). RNAcentral describes it as "tRNA-Ile". The record is from RNAcentral. Lineage: Eukaryota; Metazoa; Chordata; Lepidosauria; Squamata; Gekkonidae.
GGAGGCGUGCCCGAAAUCCAAGGACUACUUUGAUAGAGUACACCACAGGGGUUAAAACCCCCUCACCUCCC